Bos taurus (domestic cattle) is the source of this 1166-nucleotide long non-coding RNA. The record is from Ensembl. Lineage: Eukaryota; Metazoa; Chordata; Mammalia; Artiodactyla; Bovidae.
UUGUAAUAUCAUGCAUGGGUCACUUGGAAAAUAUUGAUUCACAGGUGCAAAUCACCCAGAUGUUGACACACUUCAUUACACCAUAUGUUUAAAAAUCACUUUUGUAAUAUCAGCAUUGAUCUCAUCAGAAAAGACUCCAAGUCUUGGCACGCCACUGUCAAGCUCCCAAGGAGCUUGUGGGGACCUCACUUGAAGAACUGCUGAUUUAGGAAUUGUUAGUUAACUGCUGACUGAGGUGACUGAGGCAGUUAGUUUCUGUUAUGAUUACCUUUUCUAACCAGGAGUGAGUUAAAGAAUACAAGGAUUGCAUAAUGUUCUGGCUGAGCGCUGAAGAACUGAUGCUUUUGAACUGUGGUGUUGGAGAAGACUCUUGAGAGUCCCUUGGACUGCAAGGAGAUCCAACCAGUCCAUUCUAGAGGAGAUCAGCCCUGGGUGUUCUUUGGAAGGAAUGAUGCUAAAGCUGAAACUCCAGUACUUUGGCCACCUCUUGCGAAGAGUUGACUCAUUGGAAAAGACUCUGAUGCUGGGAGGGAUUGGGGGCAGGAGGAGAAGGGGACGACAGAGGAUGAGAUGGCUGGAUGGCAUCACUGACUCGAUGGACGUGAGUCUGAGUGAAUUCUGGGAGUUGGUGAUGGACAGGGAGGCCUGGUGUGCUGUGAUUCUGGGGUUGCAAAGAGUCGGACACGAUUGAGUGACUGAACUGAACUGAAUGUUCUACUGUAUGUAUAUACCGCAUUUUGUUUAUUCAUUUGUUGAUGGACAUUUGGGUUGCUUCUACCUCUUGGCAAUAGUGAAUAGUGUUGCUGUGAACGUGGGUCUGCAAAUAUCUCUUCAGAACCCAGCUUUCAGUUCUUUGGGAUAUAUACCCAGAAGUAAAAUUGCUGCGUCACGUGGUAGUUCUAGUUUUAACUUUCUGAGGAACCUCCAUAAUGUUUCCAUAGCAAUUGCACCAUCUUUCAAUCUCCCCAAUAGUGUAAUAUGUUCAUUUUUCUUCUCAUCUUUGCCGACAUUUCUUUUUCUUUUUUUUCCCUCCUUUUUCCUUCUUCCUGCCUGCCUAUCUGCCAUCCUAAUCAGCAUGAGGUGAAAUAUCAUUGCAGAUUUGAUUUGCAUUUUCUGUACUGUUAGUGAAGUUAAUCAUCCUUUUAUAUUCCUGCUGGCUAUUGUAU